This 418-nucleotide unclassified non-coding RNA is filed under the name soil metagenome. RNAcentral's name for it is "partial contains 5.8S ribosomal RNA, internal transcribed spacer 2, and large subunit ribosomal RNA". The stretch from base 1 to 120 matches the Rfam family "5.8S ribosomal RNA", at positions 35 to 154 of the family's 154-position model. The record is from RNAcentral.
GAUGAAGAACGUAGCGAAAUGCGAUAAGUAAUGUGAAUUGCAGAAUUCAGUGAAUCAUCGAAUCUUUGAACGCAUCUUGCGCUCCUUGGUAUUCCUUGGAGCAUGCCUGUUUGAGUAUCAUGAGCAAAUCUCAAAGUCAAUUCCUUUUGUUGAUUCAAUUGGUUUUGCUUUGGACUUGGAGGCCUUGCAGAUUUCACAGUCUGCUCCUCUUAAAUGCAUUAGCUGGAUCUCAGUAAUUAUGCUUGGUUCCACUCGGCGUGAUAAGUAUCACUCGCUGAGGACACUGUUUAAAAGGUGGCCAGGAAAAUACUGAUUGAACCGCUUCUAACGGUCUAUUAAGUUAGACAAUUACCCUUAAGUUUGAUCUCAAAUCAGGUAGGACUACCCGCUGAACUUAAGCAUAUCAAUAAGCGGAGGA